This is a long non-coding RNA of Gekko japonicus, 317 nucleotides long. RefSeq lists it as uncharacterized. The transcript has 3 exons. NCBI's taxonomy places the organism in Eukaryota, Metazoa, Chordata, Lepidosauria, Squamata, Gekkonidae. The record is from RefSeq and is a predicted model, not a curated record.
CUCCAAAUGCGUUACUGAUCUCUCUAGGAGUGAUGGGAGGUGUUAUACUCAUUGGUGGGAUAUUAGGGCUUCUUUACUGGAAGAAGAAGGCAAAAGGAAUCAGAUGAAAAUGAAAGAGGACGACUGCUCCCCGUAUGCAGUAAGCAGCAGGAAGGAUAUAGACCAGAAUGAAACCAUGUAUUCGGUCGUGACGUUCCCCCCGGAAACUGGACAGGGCACCUCUACUUUAUCGGGUGGCAACCCAGCUUCUCAGCCUGGAGAGAAAGUGCAUACCGUUUAUGCUUUGUUGUCUAAAUAGAGAAAUAAAGUCUUCUGCG